Lutzomyia longipalpis is the source of this 2148-nucleotide long non-coding RNA. RefSeq lists it as uncharacterized. The transcript is spliced from 2 exons. NCBI's taxonomy places the organism in Eukaryota, Metazoa, Arthropoda, Insecta, Diptera, Psychodidae. The record is from RefSeq and is a predicted model, not a curated record.
GCCUGACAAAACCUCUAUUUCCAUAGGAAUUCACUGAUCCCUGGUGAUCACUCGACUUUCGAGAAAUGUGUCACCCAGAAAAAUGCCUCAAUCUGAAAAAUUCUACCAUCACUGGAUAGAUAAUUUAAUAUUCUAUCGAUUGAGAAAGUUUGGUAGGUGGCACAUUCCUAUUAAUGCACUAAUAUUGACCUUAAAAAUUUCAAUGCACUUUUGAGAAAAAAAAUCACGACAUUUUCUUCUUUGGCGACAACCACGCCAUCUAUUGGUAAACAUAUGUAAUUUCGCCUCGAACGUUUCUAACCUCAAAUUUUGUUUACAUUUCGAUAAAAAAAUUUAUUUUUUCUUAUUUUAAGCCUUUUGAAGUGUUUUAAAGUUAAAUAAAUAUGUAUUAAAGUUAAAAUGUGAAUUAAAGUGUUGUUUUGUGCCUAAUAUGUUAGGAGUGAACGCACUCGUUUGAACUUAUGGAAUUUUCCGGAAGAUUUGUGGACUCUUUAAGUUUCCCCGGAAUGGGGCGUCAUUGGCGUCGUCGACAUAUAGAGUAUAAUUGCAACGUAUUACUACAAGCUUCAUCUGGGGAUUAGAGAGAAGCAGUCGACUGAAUUCACUAUCAUGAAGUUCCUGUCCGGAAGUGGCAAAACUUUUUUUGAAGACAUCCCGGAUCCUUUCUUCUUUACAAAGAACAUCCCAGGAAGGAUCACAAUCAGUGUCAAAUUGAAACUGAAAUUAAAUGUAAAGUUUUACAGAUCCUUGGAAACGUCGCUACAGUUCCUGAUAGUGUUUCGAGCUGAUACAGCACAUCAGAUAUGUCUGGAUUACAAUCUUUAGUCCCACCGCUGUGUAAUUCAGUGAGAGUCUAGAGCGGACUAACUUCAUUGACUGCUACAACGGUAGUGAUACAACUACCCUCAUCCUGUGAUGAAAAGGGGGCUACUGUUCAGUCACGACACGAUAAAGUGUUAUAAUUUUGAAGAAAAUAGUGAAAGCACACUCCGGCUAUCUCACUGGCAUCCAUAGCAAUCUUAAGCCAAAUUAAGAUGCCACUCAUAUUAGUAAGAAUCAGUUACAAGAACAUCAAUUCCGAGGAAGCUGAGAAAAAUACGUCGAUGAAGGUUUGUUAUUUCAUCCGAGGGAACAUCAUAUGGCCUGCAGAAAACAAAUCACGUUGAGUUGACUCCGAUGCAGCAGAAUUUCUUAAACCUCCUGGUUAACUGGACAUAAUGGAAGGUAAUUGAUUUGUGCGACAGCAAAUACCGUAUCACAGACCUAGAGGUACAACCGGCAUAGCCAAUAAGAUGACCAAAUUGACUCAAAGCUGGGUGGGAAACAUACGUUUUGGUGCAUGCUGGAUGAUUUUGCUUAAGCCUCGGAAAGUUUGGGGGACCGUAAUCUUACAUUACCGUAAACAUAAUGGAGAAAAAUGAAAAUACCACCACAUCUGGGAUAAAUCUACGUUGUCUAAAAAUCUUUAAGAAUCUUCGUCUUGUCAUCUGAUACAGCUGAUAGGAAAGUGGAAGUUCCAGAUAAUAUUACGUUGUGAUGAUUGAUAAGCCUCCAUUCCAUAAUAUACUGUAGAACAUCCUUCAAAGACGAACAGCAUAAGUUUUUGUGUUUUAAAUAUGCUCAUUUCUAAAUUAAAAAAAAAUAACAUAAUUUAAGAUCAAUAAGGCAAAAAAAUCAAAUAUCUUGUCAAUGUCUUCAGCAAUUUUUUAUUAUGUUAUUGAUAACUUUAAAGUGUAUAUUUCUUUCUUUUAGUUGUUUUGAAUCUUUCUAAUACAUUUUAAAAAUUCCAAAAAAAAAUCGUAUAAAAUACAAUGCUUCUAAAAAAUUAGCAAGUUGCAACAUAAACAAUAUAAUUUAUCUUACAAUGGUGUAUUUAUCCCAUAUUAUCAAAAUUCUAUUAUUUAUAAACUGAUUUAUUCCUUCUGUGUUUAUUACAAUAAUUAGUUAUGUCUUGAGAUAGAAGAGGAUCACGAGGUGUGAGCAUGCGCUCAAAUAACCAUAAAAAAAACGCCUAAGAAAAAAUAGAUUCAAAAAUAAAACAAAUUAAUUAAGACAACUUUAAAUUUUUCCUCUAAAUAGAAUAAGGGGAAUAAAUUAAUAAUAGCCUUCUAAAUAAAAUUGUUUUCAAAUGAGAUAGAGAUUCGAGAU